Molecule: unclassified non-coding RNA, 343 nt
Filed under: uncultured Powellomyces
Lineage: Eukaryota; Fungi; Chytridiomycota; Chytridiomycetes; Spizellomycetales; Powellomycetaceae
Description: sequence contains ITS2
Source: RNAcentral
AACGCACAUUGCGCUCCCUGGUAUUCCGGGGAGCAUGCUCGUUUCAGAAUCAUUAACAUUCUCAAAGACACGGUCUGAACCUUCGGGGGAUACCGUUACUCUUUCGGAUGUGAGCCCUUUUGCUGCAAGGCAAUGGCUUGAAAAUGAUUGUGUUUGCAACCGGCCUCCUUGGUUCGGUUCUCUCAAGUGCAACAGAUGUUAGCUCAUUCGUUACCUCUUGAUGAGAAGCGAUUCCAUUGUCCGGAUGAUGUUACACUCAACCAAAAUACACUCUCAGUGAUUCGAAGGGAUCACUGUUUGAUAACUUGGUCUGAAAUCGAGCAAGAAAACCCGCUGAACUUAA